Non-coding RNA from Chrysemys picta bellii (western painted turtle), 580 nucleotides. The record is from RefSeq and is a predicted model, not a curated record. NCBI's taxonomy places the organism in Eukaryota, Metazoa, Chordata, Testudines, Emydidae.
AGCCGGCCCUGAUUCUGGGUGUUCUUGGAGGGGGUUUUUUUCGCUUGGGGCGGCAAAAAACCUAGCGCUGGGCCUGGUUGACCACCACUGACGUGGACCGGAGUGAUGGACGCGCUGCGCUCCUAAUAAGCAGGCCUUAACUAACUUGCCUCUUUUAACCAGGUGUUUGUCACGGCUGGCUGAUGCAGUGGCUUGGAAAGACGGCAACUUCUCAAAGCACAGGUUCUUCAAAUCCCAGAGUCAACUCAGCCCUUCAUCCUUCAAUUCACUGCUGUGCACUCAGGAGUUAUUGCGCAAGUGGGGUUUUUUUUGGGGGGGGCCUCCCCAAAAAAUGAAGACACCCAUAAUCACAUCGGCUCUUGGAACAUUUCAGCCUUGGUGGUUGCAGACGGAUACACUUCAUCUGUUGGACAGGUAGCAGCAUGGGAGGUGGCAAGGCCUUCAAACUCCCAAGAGGUGAGCAGAGGACUCUGGCUGUUACCGACAUGAACGCAGGUGAAUUCCAAAGUUAAAAUGAUGGUCAAAACAACCGUAGUUCCAGCGCAGCUUCCAACAUCUACCUCCUCACUGCUCUCUCCUG